UACGGAGGGUGCAAACGUUGCUCGGAAUCAUUGGGCGUAAAGCGCACGUAGGCGGUCCGGCAAGUCGGAUGUGAAAUCCCUCGGCUCAACCGAGGAAGUGCAUUCGAAACUGCCAGACUUGAGUAUGGAAGAGGAGAGUGGAAUUCCUGGUGUAGCGGUGAAAUGCGCAGAUAUCAGGAGGAACACCCGUGGCGAAAGCGGCUCUCUGGGACGGUACUGACGCUGAGACGCGAAAGCGUGGGGAGCAAACAGG
This 253-nucleotide ribosomal RNA is filed under the name uncultured bacterium. Its description in RNAcentral is "partial 16S ribosomal RNA". It matches the Rfam family "Bacterial small subunit ribosomal RNA", at positions 524 to 776 of the family's 1533-position model. The record is from RNAcentral.